UGUGUAGGUGGUUUGGUAUGUCGGAUGUGAAAUCUCACCGCUCACCGGUGAAACUGCAUUCGAAACUGCCAGACUAGAGUACAGGAGAGGAGAGCGGAAUUCUUGGUGUAGCGGUGGAAUGCGUUGAUAUCAAGAAGAACACCGGUGGCGAAGGCGGCUCUCUGGAAUGUUACUGACACUGAGACACGAAAGCUGGGGGAGCAAACA
RNAcentral lists this ribosomal RNA (207 nucleotides) under uncultured bacterium. Its description in RNAcentral is "partial 16S ribosomal RNA". It matches the Rfam family "Bacterial small subunit ribosomal RNA", at positions 568 to 774 of the family's 1533-position model. The record is from RNAcentral.